This 39-nucleotide ribosomal RNA is filed under the name Tuber verrucosivolvum. Its description in RNAcentral is "partial 18S ribosomal RNA". The record is from RNAcentral. Lineage: Eukaryota; Fungi; Ascomycota; Pezizomycetes; Pezizales; Tuberaceae.
CAGGGGUUUUCCGUUGGGUGAACCUGCGGAAGGUCAUUA